This 1807-nucleotide long non-coding RNA is filed under the name Ananas comosus (pineapple). Its description in RNAcentral is "long non-coding RNA (ACOM_LNC035265)". Lineage: Eukaryota; Viridiplantae; Streptophyta; Magnoliopsida; Poales; Bromeliaceae. The record is from RNAcentral.
CUUCCGUGUUUUCGAAAGUAUGAAAGCUUCCGUACUUGUAAGUUGUUUUCGAUGAUAGGACAUUCAAUUCGAUGAUCGGCUCCGGUAGGCAUAAUCUAUGCUAUUGGAACUAUUUAGAAACUAAAUUUUAUAAUUUUUCGACAUCAUUUACCAAGCGAUCACAGGGUUUCAAAAAUGACUAUUUUAACGGCCGAUGUGGCACGUUUUUAAGUUCAACGGUGUAGAAGUAUCCAAAUUAUAUGAAACUUUAAUAGAAAAUUCUACUUAACAUCAAGAGUAAGAACAAUACUUCCGAUUUGAAAUUUGAGUCAUUUAUCACUGUUUUUCGUGAGCUUUUUAUUUUCAGCCGUUCAUUUUGAGGCUAUUCGUUCAUUAAGCAAAUGAAGUCAAAAAAUUAUGAAAUUUGGUUUCUAGCUAGUUCCAAUAGCGUAGAUCAUGUUUAACAGAACCGAUCGCCGAAUCAGAUGUCCCAUCAUUGGAAACAACUUACAAGUACGGAGGCCUCCGUACUUUCCAAAGCAUAUAUAUAUAUAUAUAUAUAUAUAUAUAUAUAUAGAGAGAGAGAGAGAGAGNNNNNNNNNNNNNNNNNNNNNNNNNCCUACGAAUGGUUAUGAUUAAUUUGUUAAAAAUAUCUCAAAUAAAAAUGAACGGUUAUGAUCAAACUAUUAAAUCUCUACAAUAAAAUAAUAUUCCCUACGAAUAGUUAUGAUUAAUUUGUUAAAAAUAUCUCAAAUAAAAACGAAUGGUUAUGAUCAAUCUAUUAAAUCUCUACUAUAUAUAAAAAUCUAUUCCCUACAAAUGGUUAUGAUCAAUUUGUUAAAAAAAUAUCUCAAGUAAGAAUAGUUAUGAUCAAUCUAUUAAAAAUUAGUAUCCCUAUCCAUUUAUUAAUUCAAUCCUACGAACCGUUAUAAUCAAUUUGUUAAAAAAUAUCUCAAAUAAAAACAAACGGUUAUGAUCAAUUUAUUAAAAAAUAGCAUUUUUAUUCAUCUAUUUUACAUUAAAAUUAAAAUUUGAGUUUAAAUUAUGAAUUAAAUAUAAUUUUGGAUAUCAAAUUUGAAUUAACAAUUAAUUUUUUUAUUACAGUGGAUUAAAAUUAAAUUUUAAAUUUUAAAAUAAAUGUGAAUUAAAUUUUGAUAUUUUUAGUUUAAAAUAUAUAUUUAAAUUUGAUUCAUCAAAAAUUAAAAAGUAUAUAAAAAUGUUCGAUGUAUAUAGAAAAAAGAAUACGGUAGGAUAUGAAUAUUUUUUAAUAAAAUGUAACAUAUUAAUUUAUAAAUAUAAUUUUUAUUGUAAAAUUUUGGAUAUAUAUAAUGUACAAAUUUAUAUUGAUUUGAAAUAAAUUAUAAUAAUUGUUACGUGUUUUUGCACGUACAUUCAACUAUUAUUUUAUUAUAUAUAAAAGCAUACAGAAAUUCCGACAAUGACAGACGGAUUCCUUUUAAUAUAGGAAUUUCGAUAAUGACAGACGAAAUCCAAAAAGGAAUGAAAUAAUAUUCCCUACGAAUGGUUAUGAUUAAUUUGUUAAAAAUAUCUCAAAUAAAAAUGAACGGUUAUGAUCAAACUAUUAAAUCUCUACAAUAAAAUAAUAUUCCCUACGAAUAGUUAUGAUUAAUUUGUUAAAAAUAUCUCAAAUAAAAAUGAACGGUUAUGAUCAAACUAUUAAAUCUCUACAAUAAAAUAAUAUUCCCUACGAAUAGUUAUGAUUAAUUUGUUAAAAAUAUCUCAAAUAAAAACGAAUGGUUAUGAUCAAUCUAUUAAAUCUCUACUAUAUAUAAAAAUCUAUUCCGUAUAAAUGGUUAUAAUCAAUUUG